Arabidopsis lyrata subsp. lyrata is the source of this 277-nucleotide long non-coding RNA. RefSeq lists it as uncharacterized. The transcript is spliced from 3 exons. NCBI's taxonomy places the organism in Eukaryota, Viridiplantae, Streptophyta, Magnoliopsida, Brassicales, Brassicaceae. The record is from RefSeq and is a predicted model, not a curated record.
CUCGAAGAAUCACUUGUGGCUCGGCCAGCCUUGGUUCCAGAAGAUCAAUGGAGAGAUUUCGUUCAUGAUCAAUUCAGUGAUAAAGCAAAGAAAAUGAGAGAGCGUAAUAUUAAGAGUCGAAGCAAACUAAAGAUACCACAUGCCCUUGGAAAAAAGAGUUUGGCAAGAAAAGCUCAUGAAAUAGAAGAAGAGACUGGUAUUGAACCAAGUCGAGCAGAAAUAUUUAUUGCAUCACGUAUAAGAGUAGAUGGAAGUAUGAUUUGUGAGGAGCAACAAU